AUGAAUAUCUCAGUGCAGAUUCUGAAAAAGCCAAACAUUUCAGAUGACGCUCAAGCAUCUAAUACAGUAGUGGCUACAGUGAGUCAGCUCUUGGAUGCCAAGGAAAUGGAAUUCAGCAGUGAUCUUGUCAAUGUUACAUCAAGCCUCACAAAAACGAUUGAAGAAUUUUCUUUGAUGAGCAACAUCACUCAGACCAACAUUGCAGUCCAGUCUGUCCCACUGAUGUUGAACUCCUCUGCAAUUCUGUUUUUGGCACAGAGAGGUAAGCCUGGAUGUGUUGUUGGAUUUACCAGCAAAAGCAGGUGUGUGCCAUAA
This 315-nucleotide long non-coding RNA is filed under the name Anas platyrhynchos platyrhynchos (common mallard). Its description in RNAcentral is "lncRNA (ENSAPLG00000022219.1)". Lineage: Eukaryota; Metazoa; Chordata; Aves; Anseriformes; Anatidae. The record is from RNAcentral.